GACAGAGGGUGCAAACGUUGUUCGGAAUUACUGGGCGUAAAGCGCGCGCAGGCGGUCCUUUAAGUCUGAUGUGAAAUCUUGCGGCUCAACCGCAAGCGGUCAUUGGAAACUGGGGGACUUGAGUACAGAAGAGGAAAGCGGAAUUCCACGUGUAGCGGUGAAAUGCGUAGAGAUGUGGAGGAACACCAGUGGCGAAGGCGGCUUUCUGGUCUGUAACUGACGCUGAGGCGCGAAAGCGUGGGGAGCAAACAGG
This 253-nucleotide ribosomal RNA is filed under the name uncultured bacterium. RNAcentral's name for it is "partial 16S ribosomal RNA". It matches the Rfam family "Bacterial small subunit ribosomal RNA", at positions 524 to 776 of the family's 1533-position model. The record is from RNAcentral.